CUUCCCUCCGUCACACGUGUGCUUGACCCUCUUACACAUCUACCACGUGUCUUCAGUGUUGUCAAUCUUUCUUGUUGACUCAUCUUAUUUGGGGGGCUGACAUCGCUUCAAAAUGAUUGGGUGGCUAUGAUUCCCUAUCCAAAAGAAAAUCGAGUGAACUGAUUCACUUUGUCUCCGCUUUCUUCUUCUAAUUGUGAUGCAAAAGGUCUUACUUCUAUUCUACAUGGGUCUCGCUAAUCUUGAAAUAUAAUAAAACUGCAUAUUUUUUU
This is a long non-coding RNA of Camelina sativa (false flax), 269 nucleotides long. RefSeq lists it as uncharacterized. NCBI's taxonomy places the organism in Eukaryota, Viridiplantae, Streptophyta, Magnoliopsida, Brassicales, Brassicaceae. The record is from RefSeq and is a predicted model, not a curated record.